Molecule: ribosomal RNA, 253 nt
Filed under: uncultured bacterium
Lineage: Bacteria
Description: partial 16S ribosomal RNA
Rfam family: Bacterial small subunit ribosomal RNA
Source: RNAcentral
UACGAAGGGGGCUAGCGUUGCUCGGAAUUACUGGGCGUAAAGGGCGCGUAGGCGGACAGUUUAGUCAGAGGUGAAAGCCCAGGGCUCAACCUUGGAAUUGCCUUUGAUACUGGCUGUCUUGAGUUCGGGAGAGGUGAGUGGAAUGCCGAGUGUAGAGGUGAAAUUCGUAGAUAUUCGGCGGAACACCAGUGGCGAAGGCGACUCACUGGCCCGAUACUGACGCUGAGGCACGAAAGCGUGGGGAGCAAACAGG